RNAcentral lists this transfer RNA (60 nucleotides) under Salmonella enterica subsp. enterica serovar Enteritidis. RNAcentral's name for it is "tRNA-Lys". It matches the Rfam family "tRNA", at positions 7 to 64 of the family's 71-position model. From Rfam's summary of the family: Transfer RNA (tRNA) molecules are approximately 80 nucleotides in length. Their secondary structure includes four short double-helical elements and three loops (D, anti-codon, and T loops). Further hydrogen bonds mediate the characteristic L-shaped molecular structure. tRNAs have two regions of fundamental functional importance: the anti-codon, which is responsible for specific mRNA codon recognition, and the 3' end, to which the tRNAs corresponding amino acid is attached (by aminoacyl-tRNA synthetases). tRNAs cope with the degeneracy of the genetic code in two manners: having more than one tRNA (with a specific anti-codon) for a particular amino acid; and 'wobble' base-pairing, i.e. permitting non-standard base-pairing at the 3rd anti-codon position. The record is from RNAcentral. Lineage: Bacteria; Pseudomonadati; Pseudomonadota; Gammaproteobacteria; Enterobacterales; Enterobacteriaceae.
UUAGCUCAGUUGGUAGAGCAGUUGACUUUUAAUCAAUUGGUCGCAGGUUCGAAUCCUGAA